RNAcentral lists this ribosomal RNA (379 nucleotides) under uncultured bacterium. RNAcentral describes it as "bacterial SSU rRNA". It matches the Rfam family "Bacterial small subunit ribosomal RNA", at positions 28 to 406 of the family's 1533-position model. The record is from RNAcentral.
GACGAACGCUGGCGGCGUGCUUAACACAUGCAAGUCGAACGGAUCAGGGGAGCUUGCUUUCCUGGUUAGUGGCGAACAGGUGAGUAACACGUGAGCAAUCUGCCCUUGACUCUGGGAUAACUGCGGGAAACUGUAGCUAAUACCGGAUAUGACAGCCGACGGCAUCGUCUGGUUGUGGAAAGAAUUUCGGUCAGGGAUGAGCUCGCGGCCUAUCAGCUUGUUGGUGAGGUAAUGGCUCACCAAGGCGACGACGGGUAGCCGGCCUGAGAGGGUGACCGGCCACACUGGGACUGAGACACGGCCCAGACUCCUACGGGGGGCUGCAGUAACGAACCUUGCGCAAUGGACGAAAGACCUGACGCAGCCACGCCGCGUGAGU